RNAcentral lists this long non-coding RNA (4035 nucleotides) under Solanum tuberosum (potato). RNAcentral's name for it is "long non-coding RNA (STUB_LNC009957)". Lineage: Eukaryota; Viridiplantae; Streptophyta; Magnoliopsida; Solanales; Solanaceae. The record is from RNAcentral.
AGCAUCAUGAUUAUUAGACAUACAUUCAGGUGUAACCAGUUGAAGUGCAGUAGAGAGUUUCUAUCUGAGAAGCGCCUCAAGCAAUGCAUGAUCUAUGUUCCUUGAAAAAUAUAGAGAAGGUGAGUAUUGGAUAUAAAAGAAUUGAAAUAUAAGUAUUGGCUUGUCACCUCUCCAUCAAUGAAAGCAUGUCUGAUAGUGUCAUUUGUGGGGUUCCUGCAACAAUAACAAUUAAAAUCAUUAGAUUGAUUGUUAGCAUUGAAUCUGGAGAUUACCUCUUUAAACGACAGUUUGCCAAGAAAUAGCCUCCAAACUAAAAAGGAAUGAAAUUGUGCCAAAUUGUGUCAAUGUUUUGAUGAUGGAUCUGAUUUUUUCUCUGCCUAACAAUAUGCCAAGCAGAUUUAUUUGUGUAUCUUCCGUCACCAGUCUCCAUCCAUAUUGCAUCAUCUUUAUGGCUAUUGUUUCCAAUAUCCACUUGAUAUAUUGCUCCUCUUAGAUCCUUAGGAAUAUCAUUCUCAAUCUUCAUUCAGUUCCAUACUCCAUUUAUGAUGUAACUGCUCACAUCGUGUUUGCAAUUUCUACCAAUGUAGUAUCUCUGUUUUUCUUGUUCUUCCGUCUUUGACAGUUUCUCUGAGUACUUCUGCCUCUUAUUCUUUUGGUAUCCUUUGUGUUGUCAUUGACUUUGUUAUUGGAUUGUGCUCCGAUUUUCUUGUGAUUAUUAUUCAAUUUAGAGGAUUUGUCAAUCCUCUCACCUUGUUGUGACUCUAUCACGGUUGUUAAAUAGUCUGCAUGCUGCACAUUUUGCUUUAUCGUUUGAUCACACUUGAUAUCUACUACCAAGUGUGAUCAAGAUUGAUUUUUAAUAUGGGAAGGUAAACUGUUGGACAUGCUUAGUUCAUUGAUUUGAUCUAAUAUAUCAUUGUCUUCUUUUGAAACUUUUGUGGUCUCUACCUCUUUGUCAAUCCCGUUUUUACUGAUUUGGUGUUGUUCUUGCAAGAAAGAAUAGUUGUUUCUAGACGCUUCAGAAUUAGUCUCCACCUCAUUAUUGUUGUAGUGUAAUUUUUCCUCUUUGUAGCAACUAACAUUGGAACAAGUUACUUCUUUAUUGUUGAUCUCUUUUUUGUUGCUUUUAAUCUCAGUAUCUUCAACCUUAUUUAUGUUAAGGUCACUUUCCUCCACAAUAGACCUGCUAAGCUCGAGUUCCUUUUUUUCCCUUUUCUUUUUCUUCUUAUUUUCUGUAAUUUGCUCCAACGCUGGGUUGUAUAAGACUAUGUUUUUCUUUUUUUUUAGCUUUCUUGUUCUCUCCCUUCUUCUUCUUUUUGUUGUUGUUAAGCCUUUCUACUACUCUUAAACCAAUCUGCCCAUUAUCAGCCUCAUUAUCUUUACCAACAUUUUUAUUCUAUUCAAUAAUCUUGAUAUUUUCAGCAUUCUUUUCCUUGAUAUUACUAGACUCCAGUUCUUCAGUAUUUUGUUUUCCGUUAUCAUCAAGAUUGAUGGCAUUUCUUUCAAUCUCUUUAGCUUCAUUGGCUUUAUUUCUUUCAAGAACUCUGCAAUUCAUAACAUUGUGACCCAAUUUCUUACGGUGCUUGUAGUAUUUCAGAAUGUUUUUGUAUUCAAUUUUGUGAUAGUAUCCCUUUAAAGGGAUUCCCUCAUCUUCCAAACCUACCCAAAUUUGAUCAGGUAGUUUUUUCAGUAAAUUAACUUCAACACAUACCUUCACCAAGCUCGGUCUAGUCUUACCACUAGUGGCAGCAUCCAAACCCAAAGGAAUACCUAUGCUAGCAACAAUCUAUCUCAUAUAUUGCCAGGUGUGCAUAUGAAAAGGAAUUUCAGGAAGAAGAAUCCAUAUAAGGGCUAUGGGCAGAUCUUCAUCAGGUUUGAACUCCGGAGACUAUUUUUGAAGCCACAUUUCAGACCCCUCGAUCUCAAUUACACUUCGAAACCACGCCUUAUAGAAAUCAUCUUCAUUAGUGAAGUCUAUGAAAACAUUGAAUGUAUCAUAUACAUCAAUUUUAGCAGAACCUUUAAUAGGAAAAAGCUCUUUGAAUACUGACCUAAUUUUUUCAAUUUGGAAGUGAGGUUUUAAGAAUCUCCGGACAAUGGUGAGCUUGCAUUCUUCAGCCAUAACACCAUAGUAAUCCUUGGACUUAAAUAUCACUGUCGGAACUCCAUUAUGUGUUGCGUGUUUUGCAAUUACUAAUUCUCUAGGGUGUUUGAAGUUGGUUGUUGCAGGGGUAGCAAUUGUCAAAACUUUGGUCGCAUACGAUGUUUUCUCUAUGUUUCCUUCCACCGCUUGCUUUCCAUUGUAAGUUGGAUCUGUAAUUUCAGUAGGAAAAACAACAGGACCACUAUAUAACGGCGCCAUGCAUCGCAGCUAGGCAAAAAUAGUCCUAAUUGUUACCGUUAUACCAACUAUUAUAUGUACGAAUAGAAAAUAAGAAUAAGAGGGAACAAACAAGAAUCUGUACAAAAACUCCAGCCAGAUGCUUUGUCUACCCAAAAGUAUGGUACAUAUGCCAUCAGGAUUAUUGAGAUUCCUUGGAACAUUGGGGGAACAGUGACAAUUGCCUAGAUUUCAGUAAGAGUUGGUGAUCUAGUGGUCACUCCCUUUAAACAAUCUAGAAAAUGUUUUGCACGGGCUGCUCUAAACCAUUUUACUGAUGUUGAGAGAAUCUGUAGUAUCGUUUUGUUCUUUGUGUUUUGGAGUUAUACCAAGAUUCUAGAGUAUUUUGGUAUUAUCUAGUUUUGUUGGUUUAUCAUUUCUCCAGAUGUUUAAGGCCAAAUACAUUAUGAUUUAUUCAUAAAUCAAUUUCCCUUGAUAAUUUUGUAUAGCUGAAUUAGUUCACUAGCUGAUAAACAAUUUUCUUGAGCCAAGUGUCCUAUUGGAAAAAACCUCUCUACCCCACAAAGGUAGGAGUAAAGUAUGUGUAACCUCACCCUCCCCAUACCCCACUUGUGGGAUUAUAUUGGGUAUGUUUUUGAACGAGUUUUCUUGAUUAUGUUCUUGUUAGCUGCAUCUGUGUAGCUUCUCUGUUUGCAAUUAUUUGAAUCUCUAUAAUGCUUGUACUAUGGGGUAGUGACUGAUAAGUCACAAUAUGCUUAGGGUUAUAUUUGUAUACAUAUCAUAUUUUACUAGUUUCCAUUAGUACGAUAACCCCCUCCCCCCUGUUAUGUGCCAAUCAUGUUCAUCAAUGUUUACUUCCCUCACCGUGCUUCAUCUUCUCCUUUGUUUUUAACAAUCACAUUCAAUAAAAGCCAUAAUAUAUCAAUAUAGUGUCUGAGAAGACUUUCCCUGUAGAGAGAUUGAACGGAAUGAACAAUGUGGAUAUCUUUCCUUCGAAUAUAUUGUGAUCAUAGCCCCUGACCCUUUUCUCUGGUGCGCAAAAUGUUGUAGUUGCAGCAUCUGCCAGGUUUCAUCUACCAUGUUGUCAAGUUUUGGAGAUGUUGAAGGUAUCAGCCAUGGAAUUUCUUAAUCGAAUAGUGUCAUAUGUUGGUGGUUUUCAAGUCCUGUUUGCUGAUAAAUCUUUGGUUCAAAUGUAUCAAAUGGAUUUACAUAUGCACUGUAUGAUAUUGAAAUCUACAUGAAGGUAGAAUACAAUAGAAGGCCAUGAAAGGAAAUAAUGCUAAAUCUUUUUGUAAAUUUAUGUUUAUAAUUUUUAUUAUUGUAGGGAAAUGUAGGCUUCAAUAACAAAAGUCUAGCAAGCCAUUGUUGCUACAGAUUGUAUUCGCAAGGUAACAUUUGCAAUAUCCAAGUAUUUCUUUUAUAUUCAGUUAAAGAAAGGAGUGAAAGGAUUUUAAUAAGGAUUUAAUGUAUAUUUUCUUUUUUUAAAUGGUUGAACAUUUAAUUUGUCUUACGUAGGUUUCCAUUUUCAGAUUUUGGGAUCGGACAUCAGCGGUGGUACUAUGGUGGGAGAUGAUACGUCAAUGGAUAUUAAAAAUGUGGCCACAAGUCAAUUCAAUCAAUUGAAAUUCAUGCAAACUUUUUGAAUAUUACAAUGUUAAAUUUAUAUUUUAAUUUGUGGAAUUCAUUGCUAGUGC